CACCGCAGCCUCCCUUAUUUUGUUUACCACCAAUCAGUUCCAUAUGUUUUCAGAAUAAGGUUGGGAAUGGAAAUAAGGUUUGGAAUGGAAGAAAGAAGGAAAAUAAAGAAGCGUGGAGGAGAAGAUCUUAAACUUCCUCUAAUACCUUGAUCCGCCAUUCGCCCCUUGCUGCAAAGCAGUUUUUCACCAUGUGUCUCCCAGACGGCAAUAAAAAAAAACAAGAACUCUGCAAAAUAUAGCGCCUAUCGAUUCCGGAGAUCUAAAGCUGGCUAUCUUGGAUAUCUUAUCCAAAAUAUCGCCGUGCGUGGUGAAGCGCAUGCCUGAGAAUUAUUGCUUGACCUGAGCGAUGGAUGGUCGCAAAUGUUCCCGGGUCCAAAAUUCUCUAUUGAGUUCCCAAAAGAUGAAAUGACCGAAAGCGAAAAGAAAUGUACAGGCUGCCGAUUCGAUAUUAAAAUUAUGGUUACAGUCAAGGAGCAGUUGAGGGCCUUGAGCCCUGAAAAGGGCCUCAUCGGGUGCCGGAAUUACGAACUCGCGAUGAUAAAAUUGCGGCAGUUCAAAUCAGAGCUCAUGGAUGCACUUGUGAAGAAUGAUAAAGAUAAGG
RNAcentral lists this small RNA (601 nucleotides) under Histoplasma ohiense. RNAcentral describes it as "hypothetical lncRNA". The record is from RNAcentral. Lineage: Eukaryota; Fungi; Ascomycota; Eurotiomycetes; Onygenales; Ajellomycetaceae.